This is a long non-coding RNA of Gavialis gangeticus (Gharial), 2053 nucleotides long. RefSeq lists it as uncharacterized. The record is from RefSeq and is a predicted model, not a curated record. Lineage: Eukaryota; Metazoa; Chordata; Crocodylia; Gavialidae. The transcript has 2 exons.
CGGACCGAGCCCCGCGCCGCCUCUCCUGCCCCUUUCUCGGCAGAUGUGGAGCGGAAAGCCCAGCUCCAUUUGUGCCGUGCCGUGCCGGACGGGGGGGCCGGAGCGAUGGGCAGCCAGCCCGGGACAAGGGAGAGGGGUCGGCGGGGAAGGGAGCCGCGUGCUGCCCGGGGAAGGGCCACGAGGCACUUGCUGUACUUGGGACUACGCCGGUUUCCUUGGUGGUUUCACUAGAAUGAUCCGUUGGCUUCAGUAAAUAAUACUGUGAAUAACAAUAAAUCUUCCGGUGCAGUGAGCUACUACCCAGGCCGUGUAACCCUCGUACCUUGAUGUAGUUGUAUAGGCCAUGGUUAAUGCUGGUUUAAACUCGCACUUGGAAGUUGUUUUCAGGUCUAUACAGCUACGAACUAAUGCUCCAGCUUCCUUUGAGGAUAGAUGAGGAGCCCGUUCCUGCACGCUCUGGUGGACUUGCAGCUUGCCGGCUGGUAUUGGACUAAUGGGUCGAUUUUACAUCAAAGUGAGUCAGCAAAACUCAGGGCCUUCAAGAGGCGCUGCAUCCCUGAAGGCAGACAUACGCAUCUGAAAGAGAAGCAGAGGAUGUCCGGUCUCAUGAACACAUGAACAUUUUCUUUUUCUUGUAAGAAAAGGGGUCAGGAAUGAAGAACAGACAGAAGCGCUAUCCAGUCAGGCAGUGCUUAAUGCGGAAAGUACGGGUGAGGCAAAAGAGGCUGCAGGCCAUCUCUCUGCUGCUGCUUUCUGGCCCCAGCCCUGUGAUACCCUUGAACCUGCAGCUCCCAAUGAACUCUACAGGGACUGCUGAGGGUCAGCACAUCUGAAAUACAGCCACCGUUUGGGAACCGGCAUAAGGAUUUAGGAGUGUAACAUGGAUCCAAGUCUGAAGCAUCUGCUACUAAUGUUUGUCUCCUAAAUUGGACCAUAUACUAUGGGUUUGUAUUUAACAUGCGUUACCAUUAAAUGGAUUUACAUUGUGCAUUGCUCCAUGUAUUUUCUGUGUCACAGAAGAAAAGACCCCAUUAUCAUACUUGGUUAGAAGCAAGGCUAAGGUGUUUGAAACUUCAAUUCUGAAUUUAUUUGCCCUUUCUGCAAUAAAGAUCUGACAGGGGCCCUUUGUACUGCCUGGCAUGUGAGACUGGAGCUAAAAAUCAAAGACUAUGGCAGUGUAUCAGUGAAUGACAACUAUGAAAUAAUGUAAUAGUUGUUUCAGGUUUAGUGUUACAGAUUUAAUGUUACCCAAAGCAUAAUACUUGCUAUACGUAUCAUUCUAGUGUGAGAAAGAGAACAUUUUUGCCUUAAAAGACAACUGUAAAGAGCUUAAUGAAGCCAAAUACGUACAAGCCUUUCAGGAACCACCAUGCAUCUUAGGAAUAGCAACUAGAAGUCACCUAAACUCCAAAGAGUGGUGGGAUUCCACUGGAGCAGCUGCCCCCCCAAGACCUCUAAGACACUCUGCUUCUGCAAGGCCUGGAAGAAGGUAGAAGGUGUUCCUAAGAUACUCUGUUUCUGCCCCCCAAGACUCCUAAGAUACACUCUGCUUCUGCAAGACUUGGAAGAAGGUAGUAGGAAGGACCCCAGCCACAUGGAACUCAGCUCCACAGGAGCAAAGCUGCAGCCACAUCUGCCAGCCUCCACCAGCCCCCUCUGAAACAGUGCUUCAGCCACUGCUAUUCGGGGCAGCAGGGACAACAGCAUGCCUAAGAGUUACCUACCCAACCACACUUUGAAAGGAAAGAGACAAUCUCAGCUCUGUACCUCCCACUGUGUUUUUAAGGAAAGCAAUAUAGGAUCAAAUCUAAGAAAUUCACAGAACUCCUUGGAGGAAUUAAAAAUAUGCAUCUGAACACGAAAAAGUGCCAGCUGAAGCAUGACUGUGGUGUAAGGACUCAAUCAGGAGGAGAAAAAUGAUGAGAAGUGCAGAUUUCCUUGUGAAGGUAGGUAUUGUCAACCAUCAUUGAUGUCACCUCAGCCAAAAAGAUGCAUGAUCUGGGCUUCAGUGUGGCUUUAGGAUUGUGUAGUUUUUAUGGAACUGACAUGCUUU